GCCGACGUGGCUCGACUUAGCAAGGCGCCGGUCUUGUAAACCGGAUCAUGCUGGUGCAAAUCCAGUCGUCGGCC
RNAcentral lists this transfer RNA (74 nucleotides) under Planctomycetaceae bacterium. RNAcentral describes it as "tRNA-Thr". It matches the Rfam family "tRNA". From Rfam's summary of the family: Transfer RNA (tRNA) molecules are approximately 80 nucleotides in length. Their secondary structure includes four short double-helical elements and three loops (D, anti-codon, and T loops). Lineage: Bacteria; Pseudomonadati; Planctomycetota; Planctomycetia; Planctomycetales; Planctomycetaceae. RNAcentral also lists the same sequence under 1 other name. The record is from RNAcentral.